CUGAAAACCUAGCUUACUCCAUUCUUAUGAAUAUACCACCUUAACACAUACUAAAUAAAACAUUUUGUACAUUAAGUAAAGGCGAUUAAAAAAUGUCUUAAAGCUAUAGAAAUUAGUACCGCAAGGGAAAAGUGAAAUAUUAAUGAAAAACCUCAAGCACAAAAAAGUAGAGCUACAACCUCGUACCUUUUGCAUCAUGGUCUAACUAGUUCAACCAAGCAAAAUGAAUUUUAAGUUUGACUUCCCGAAACUAGGUGAGCUACUUAAAAACAGCCUUACGGGCCAACCCGUCUCUGUUGCAAAAGAGUGGGAAGAUUUUUAAGUAGAGGUGACAGACCUACCGAACCUAGAGAUAGCUGGUUAUUCAGGAAAAGGAUUUAAGUCCUACCUUAAGUUUAUUGUAUAAAAUAAUACACAACUAACUU
This 425-nucleotide ribosomal RNA is filed under the name Microhyla mukhlesuri. Its description in RNAcentral is "partial large subunit ribosomal RNA". The stretch from base 163 to 425 matches the Rfam family "Bacterial large subunit ribosomal RNA", at positions 566 to 916 of the family's 2925-position model. Lineage: Eukaryota; Metazoa; Chordata; Amphibia; Anura; Microhylidae. The record is from RNAcentral.